AAUAAUUGAAGGGAUUUUAUUGUUUUUGAGAUUAAAAUUGGAUCAUAUGGAGAAAGAGUUGGAACGAGUGGAAAGAAAAUUAAGUGACUGAAUCAAAGGGUCUUGAUUUGCGGGGUGCAUGUGAUUUGGGUUCAGAGAUCAUCCUAAAUCAAUUCGACUUGACCUGCAUCCAUUAGACUCAACCAUUAAAUCAACUCGAAUUACCUCUGAUAAUUAUUAAAAUGCAAUGAUGAUGGUAACACAUAUUUUAUGGUUAAAUUUACGAAAUAUGCGAAUUAAAAUAAUGAUAAGUGCUAUGAAUAAAAGGUUAAUUUAUGCAUUAUUUAACACUUAUCAAUCACCCUCUACAUUGAGCAUACAUAAGAUGUGCCAGUCUUUCCGGUAAUAUUGAUCCCCGACUCAAUAUACCAAUUUGACUG
RNAcentral lists this long non-coding RNA (419 nucleotides) under Phoenix dactylifera (date palm). RNAcentral's name for it is "long non-coding RNA (PDAC_LNC011569)". The record is from RNAcentral. Lineage: Eukaryota; Viridiplantae; Streptophyta; Magnoliopsida; Arecales; Arecaceae.